AAUGUAACAAGCAAUAACUACCUCUUAGGGAUGUAUAGAGAGAAUUCCCACAGGAGAGAGAUGGCAUAUUUCAAAUUGAGACUAUUCGAUCCAGGGGCUGGUCAUCAAGAUGGAGCAGGGUAUAGAGAAGCCAUUAGGGAUGAUACAGAACAGCACCAAAGGAGCUCCUUCUGGGAUUCUCUAUUGGCUGAACUCAGCCAGAAGCUGCCAAGGGAGACCCCCACAACUGGAUGCAGCCCACUGAAGUCAGCUUCCUGGGGUGCAUAGCUGAAGGUAGCAGGGAGCAAAAAGAAUCUGAAGGGGCAAGUGAACAAUGUAGAGCGUAUCUGUGCUGAAGACAUAAGGAGAGAGUGGAGGUCAGAAGCUGGCACGGUCCCUGGUGCAUGUGUCAGCCGCUAAAGCUGGAGUGGAUGAAUCAGAACUUUCCCCAUGGGAGCAUUUAUAAAAAGGGGACACCCAGCGCAGAAGAUGUUUUCCAGGGAGAUCUCGGGGAGCCCAACAAGCCAAGAAGAGCAGAGCAAAGCAUUCCAAGGAAGGACUCUAAGUCUGCAACAGAGCACACACGAGGUAGGUGCUUUUACCCCUGCUGUGCAUUCAAGGAAAGGAGAUCCGGAGAGGUUAUAGCAUCA
Molecule: long non-coding RNA, 629 nt
Filed under: Pan paniscus (pygmy chimpanzee)
Lineage: Eukaryota; Metazoa; Chordata; Mammalia; Primates; Hominidae
Description: lncRNA (ENSPPAG00000044161.1)
Source: RNAcentral